RNAcentral lists this ribosomal RNA (1551 nucleotides) under Triticum aestivum (bread wheat). Its description in RNAcentral is "partial small subunit ribosomal RNA". The record is from RNAcentral. Lineage: Eukaryota; Viridiplantae; Streptophyta; Magnoliopsida; Poales; Poaceae.
AUGGCGUUCCCAAGGAGCCCUGCUUCCACCGUGAGCAGCUACGUUUCUACUCCGACGGUGAGAAGCUGCCCCAGCUCCUCCAUCUCCACAGGCUGCAGCACACCUGCCACCCCAAACCCCUUUGCGGUCGCGGCAAUAAGCCCCGCCGCGAUCCGGCAUAUAGUUUCAGCCGGACAUGCCGGUGAGCACAAGCCGGCGCUAGCAGCCACAGGAACUCCUGAUCUCACACAGGGAAAGAAGCUUCAGCAGCAUCAGGAUCACACGCCGGCGCUAGCAGCCACAGGAACUCCUGACUUCACACAGGGACAGAAGCUUCAGCAGCAUCAGGAUCUUCCGGAAUCAGCAGCGAAGUUCCCUAAGCAAGAAAACCCAGCACUAGCAACCACAGGAGGUACGGAAUUCAUACAGGGAAAGAAGCUUCAGCAGCAUCAGGAUCUUCUUGAAUCAUCAGCGAAGUUCCCUAAGCAAGAAAUCAAUGGCUGGGAGCAUCCAGACCUCUGUUCACCAUCAAAGCUGCUCAAGAACGUAACUACUUCUAUCAAGGAGAUCAGUCGCUGGGCAAGAUCUUCAACGGGGUCAAAGGUGAACUCAAAUAUCCGGCUCUUGGAGUCUGUGUUUUCUUUGAUACAAGUGGUAACUUCGACAGCACCACACCCAGAUCACGUCGUCGCCAUGAUACGAGUCCACGAAGCGCUUGCUAACCUGUUGCUGGUCCUGCCCAAGAAUAUAUUCCCUUUCCUGUUGCAACACUUCGCUCAGUUUGUAGAUGAAUUAUGCCCGAAAAGAGGUGCAUCGCUAUCAGAAAGGUUUGGAAACGCACUGCAUGAUUUGCGAAGAAGCAUAAGGAGUGGUCUUCAGGUGCUCAAAGACAUGAUCUUGGACUAUACAUCUGACGUAGUCCCCCAAGGUGGUGGUAUCCAUGAGAUCACCAAAUACUUGUUAAGAUACAUCAUGUCACUACUGGACAAUGGCACCUCUCUCAAGAUCAUACUUGUCGGUGAUGAACAGGAUGGCAAGGUUGCAAUGGAGACGCUGCAAGAUAUUGUUGCUACCUUGAUCUCUCACUUGGAAAUUAUGCUUGAGAAAGAAUCUCAGCGAUAUAAAGAUGCAGGGUUAAAACAAAUGUUCAUGGUGAAUAACGUGAACUUUGUGCUGCAUCAAGUAGAAGGCUCAAAGAUAAGGUAUCUUCUAGGAGAUGAUUGGGUUCUGAAGCACCAAGACCAAAUGAAGGACCAUAUCUCAUCGUUCAUCAACAUUUCUUGGGAAUCUGUCAUGUAUUGCUUCCAUGUAAAGACCAACAAAAUCCCAAUCUUUUCUAACCUACCAACACUGCAAAUAUUUAACCUUCAAUUUGAGAAAACUUACUGGACUCAGAAGACAUGGAAAGUUGAAAAUCCUCUGCUCCGGUCCAAUAUGCGUAAAUCAGUAUCAGAGAAGCUUGUUCAGGCUUACAGUACAUACCUUGAGAAGCACAAAAAUAAAGCUCCAAAGCUUAUGAAGUACACCCCUGAAGAUCUUGAAAAGCUGCUGUCAGAUCUGUUUGAAGGAUAA